Clupea harengus (Atlantic herring) is the source of this 229-nucleotide long non-coding RNA. RefSeq lists it as uncharacterized. The transcript has 3 exons. The record is from RefSeq and is a predicted model, not a curated record. NCBI's taxonomy places the organism in Eukaryota, Metazoa, Chordata, Actinopteri, Clupeiformes, Clupeidae.
UGUAUUUUGUGCUCAUAUGUUCCUUAAUUUACCAAGACAGGAAACACAAACAUGACAAAGAAGUGAAGUCUCAGCAAGUUCACACAGACAGGUCCGUCAGAGAUCCAUCAAGUGGGCAGGAUGCUGAAGAACUGGUCAACUAUGCUGCCUUGCACUUCUCUUAUAAGAAACUGAAAAGAGGAAAGAAGAAGAGAGACCUGCCACAAGAGAGCAUAUACUCCGAUGUCAG